Molecule: ribosomal RNA, 253 nt
Filed under: uncultured bacterium
Lineage: Bacteria
Description: partial 16S ribosomal RNA
Rfam family: Bacterial small subunit ribosomal RNA
Source: RNAcentral
CACGUAGGGGGCAAGCGUUGUCCGGAUUUACUGGGCGUAAAGAGCGCGCAGGCGGUCGUACAAGUCGCGUGUGAAAGCCCCCGGCUCAACUGGGGAGGGUCACGCGAUACUGUUCGACUCGAAGGCAGGAGAGGGAAGUGGAAUUCCCGGUGUAGUGGUGAAAUGCGUAGAUAUCGGGAGGAACACCAGUGGCGAAGGCGACUUCCUGGCCUGUUCCUGACGCUGAGGCGCGAAAGCUAGGGUAGCAAACGGG